UAAGGACAAGAAGACCCUAAGAAUUUUAAAAAUUUCAAUAAAAUGCUGUAUUUUAUUGAAAUUUUUUAAUUGGGGCGAUUAUUAAAUAUUAAAAACUUUAAUUUUUUUAAAAAAGAACCAAUAAUAUUGGUUAUUUGAAAAAAUACUCUAGGGAUAACAGCGUAAUAAUUUUUGAUAGUUCUUAUAGACAAAAUAGUUUGCGACCUCGAUGUUGGAUUAGGAUUCUUUUUUAAUGAAGAAGUUAAAAAAAGAAGUUUGUUCAACUUUUAAAAUCCUACUUGAUCUGAGUUCAGACCGG
RNAcentral lists this ribosomal RNA (298 nucleotides) under Amblyomma maculatum (Gulf Coast tick). RNAcentral's name for it is "partial 16S ribosomal RNA". The stretch from base 153 to 298 matches the Rfam family "Bacterial large subunit ribosomal RNA", at positions 2473 to 2619 of the family's 2925-position model. The record is from RNAcentral. Lineage: Eukaryota; Metazoa; Arthropoda; Arachnida; Ixodida; Ixodidae.